UAACACCUGGAAACAGAUGCUAAUACCGGAUAACAACAGAUGAUGCCUAUCAACUGUUUAAAAGAUGGUUCUGCUAUCACUCUUGGAUGGACCUGCGGUGCAUUAGCUAGUUGGUAGGGUAACGGCCUACCAAGGCGAUGAUGCAUAGCCGAGUUGAGAGACUGAUCGGCCACAUUGGGACUGAGACACGGCCCAAACUCCUACGGGAGGCAGCAGAA
This 218-nucleotide ribosomal RNA is filed under the name uncultured Lactobacillus sp. Its description in RNAcentral is "partial 16S ribosomal RNA". It matches the Rfam family "Bacterial small subunit ribosomal RNA", at positions 144 to 354 of the family's 1533-position model. The record is from RNAcentral. Lineage: Bacteria; Bacillati; Bacillota; Bacilli; Lactobacillales; Lactobacillaceae.